Molecule: transfer RNA, 60 nt
Filed under: Caligus clemensi
Lineage: Eukaryota; Metazoa; Arthropoda; Copepoda; Siphonostomatoida; Caligidae
Description: tRNA-Thr
Source: RNAcentral
UAUUUGAUAGUUUAACUAAAACGUAUAUUUUGUAAAUAUAAAUUACAUUUGUUCAAAUAA